This is an RNA transcript of Nymphaea colorata (pocket water lily), 4997 nucleotides long. It is a transcript of the gene named ubiquitin carboxyl-terminal hydrolase 26, with no coding region annotated. The record is from RefSeq and is a predicted model, not a curated record. The transcript has 17 exons. NCBI's taxonomy places the organism in Eukaryota, Viridiplantae, Streptophyta, Magnoliopsida, Nymphaeales, Nymphaeaceae.
AAAAGCCUUUGUUGUCAGGCGGGUGAACAUCGUGCGUCGCGAACGCCGACCCAAGUGCUCACCCGAGUUCGCCGUCCUUCUCCUCCGACCCUCCUCUCGUUUCUCUCAUUAAAGCCCGCUCUCGCUCAGACACGAGACUCGAGAGGACGGAGAAGACAGACGGACGCGUAGUGGUCGAACAGAAACAUCCCCCCAGACGCGGAGCAUUCCCCUUUCCUCUCCCUUCCGCCUUCUGACCGCGGACUAGUGAGUUGCUUGGACGGACAAAGUUGAAGGGCUGUGAUAAAAUUCCCAGAGCAAGAGAUGGUUUCCCAGAGCAAGAGAUGGUUUUCCUAAACUUUAUCGGGUGUAUUUUGCAUUUCUGGAUUACCUGACUCAAUCUGGUAGUUCCAGUUAUUGUAAUUUAAGAUGCCAUCUGUGGUUUCCUUUUGUCAUUGAACAUUAUUAAGUUGUCCUUACCGUUGGUGCAUCAUGCACAUUCGUUUGUUUGUUUGGUUUUUCCUCCUUCAACGUUGUGCCAGUAAUGGGAUUUAAAACAAUAUCAAACUGGGGAAAAGUCAUUUUAUUUAGAAUAUAGCAUCUUUUGUGAAGAAGAAACUCCAUCUUCUUCGAGGAAUAAUGCGUUUGCCUGAAACUCGUAGUGCUGUUAGAUGAGCCUUAGACAUUGGCGAAGACAAUGAGUGGAGCUACAACACGGAGCAAAAAUAAGAAACCAAGGCAUGGUGAUGUUAGUGACAACUCUUCUGCAAUAUUGAGGAAAAUACAUUUAACUGGUGAAGUGACAGAAGAUGACAUUGAUCAGCUGUACAUGAUCUGGAAACCUGUAUGUCAGGGAUGUCGUAUCAAUUUGAAAGACUCACCAAAUUGCUUUUGUGGACUUGUACCUCCUGUGAAUGGACAUAGAAAAUCGGGUUUAUGGCAGAAAACUUCUGAAAUAGUUACUAUACUUGGUCCAGAUCCAGCAGAUGAAUUUCGUUGUCCGAACGAUUCACCUGCGGGUUUGACAAAUUUAGGUGCUACCUGCUAUGCAAAUAGCAUACUUCAGUGCCUCUAUAUGAACACAACCUUCAGAAAUGGACUUUUCUCUUUGGAGCCAGAUAUUUUAAAGCAAUAUCCUGUCUUGGACCAGCUUUCUCGCUUAUUUUCCCAAUUGUUUUUCAGAAACAAGGCUUUCAUAGAUUCAGCUCCAUUCAUUAAGACAUUGGAUCUUGACAACGAGGUGCAGCAAGAUAGUCACGAGUUCCUUACCUUACUGCUUUCCCUAUUGGAACGGUGUCUUCUUUCCUCAAAUAUUCCAAAAGCUCGAACUCUGGUACAGGAUUUGUUUCGUGGCAGUUUAUCUCAUGUUACAUGCUGUUCCACAUGUGGGAAGGAUUCGGCAGCUUCAUCAAAGAUCGAAGACUUUUAUGAACUUGAGUUAAAUAUUAAAGAUUUCAAAAAUUUAAAUGAGAGCUUGGAUGAUUAUCUGAGUACAGAAGAAUUAAGUGGUGAAAAUCAGUAUUUUUGUGAGUCAUGUGGAUGCCGAGUUGAUGCUACUCGCUGCAUCAAGUUACAGACACUUCCAGUUGUUCUAAAUUUCCAGCUUAAGCGCUAUGUAUUUCUUCCGAAGACGACAACAAAGAAGAAGGUUGUGUCAAACUUUAGCUUUCCAAAACUGUUGGAGAUGGGACAACGGUUAUGUUCUAGUCAAGCAGAUGUUCUGAUGUAUGAUCUUUCUGCUAUUCUUAUUCACAAGGGAACAGCUGUUAACAGUGGCCAUUAUGUGGCACAUAUCAAAGAUGAGUUAAGUGGUUUAUGGUGGAAAUUCGAUGAUGAACAUGUUUCAAUGUUAGGAAUUCAUCCUUUUGGAGAAGGAUCCUCAAGCUCUUGUGCUGGAGCAGAUUCAGAUGGCAAUGGGCCUUCAGGAGAUGCCUCUCAAAUUCUCCCACCUGAUAGCUCCACGGCUGAUAACCUAGAAGCAUAUUCAUCACCAGAUGCAUACAUGUUGAUGUACCAUAGAAGAAAUGCUUCUGAUAACUUGGGGUGGCACUUGAAAGGGGAAUUGAAUGGUGGAGUAUACAAGGAGCUUCUUCCAACGUAUCUUUUUGAGGAAAUUAAUAAACUAAAUCAGUUGCAUGAAAAUGCUUGCAAGGAUUAUCAAUUGAAGAAGCAGACUCACCUGAUGGAAGUGAAAGAACGUCAAAAUGAAGUGAGGACUAUUCUUUCCCUGGCACCUGUCAAUUCUACUAAGGAUCUGUACUUCUGGAUUUCAACUGAUUGGCUUCGACAGUGGGCUGAAAGUUUGAAACCUACUCAAAUAAACAACAUUAUGCUUCAAUGCUCCCAUCAAAGAGUACCCCUCUCAAAACUUGGAGUGAUGAAGCGGAUCUCAGAUCGGGCCUGGGAAAAACUAUUCUUAAAGUAUGGAGGAGGUCCGACAUUGACUGGUAGUGACUGCUGCAUUGAUUGCCUCAAAGAACUGGCAAAGACUGUGGUUUCAACAGAGGGUUACAAGGAACAAAGAGCAGGAAUGCAGAAGUUAGCAGCGGAAGCACUAAAUGGUCAAUUUGUUGAAGGGGAUCUAUUUUUUGUAUCUCGGAACUGGUUGGUACAGUGGCUGCGAAGAAAAAAUGCAGAUACCCCUUGUGCUGCUGAUGCUGAUCCUACAGCGCAACUUGUAUGUCCCCAUGGGAGACUGUUGCCUGAGCAAGUUCCUGGAGCAAAGCGUGUCUUAGUUCCUGAGUGUCUUUGGCUUUUCAUCCUUGAAAAUGCGCAGAGGGUGAAAGCUGAUGACACUUCAGGAUAUGUUGCCUUUUCUCUCGGUUCAGAAAUCUGUGCUGUGUGCAGUUUGAAGCAGAGCGAAGUGGCGCUCUCUGAAAACCAGCUUAGGGAGGCCAAAAUGAAGCAGCGGCAAAAUCAUGAACAGUUAUACCUGGGAAAAGGUGUUACAGUUUCUCCUGGCUGCAAAUAUUACAUGCUUCCUUCUUCAUGGCUGAGCAAAUGGAGAUCCUACCUGGCAGUAAGUGGAAAGACCGCUUCAUCUUCUCCAGAACCUGGCAGCUUGGAGAUCAUCAUGGAUUCACUCAAGUGCCAAAAGCACUCGCGAUUGCUCCUGAGGCCUUUUGAUCUGAUUCAAAGACGGGGUGAGCUAGUCCAGAAGAUCUCAAGUACAGAUGGUUUGGUGGCGAUUGCCGAAAGUGAUUGGCGUCUGCUGUGUGAAGAGUGGCUAGUUCCAGAAGAUAGAGGUAUCAUUGCGGAGGUGGAUUUGGUUGUUGGCUCUAGUCAGACGAAUGCAUUUGGUGUGCAGAUGGAUGCUUCAAACGAGCAACCCAGUUCUGAAGUUGAACCACUAAAACCCAUUAUUAGGACAGUACCUGAGGUAUGUGAAGAUUGUAUUGGUGAAAGAGAAAGCUGUGAGUUGAUGCAGAAGCUUAAUUAUUGCAACGAGGACAUCUGUGUUCAUUUUGUUCGUGGCAAAGAACCUCCAAAAUCAAUUUUGGCAGCAUCAGGUGCCAUCUUUGAACGUGAUCGACGUACCUCGAAACGCUCUCGGAGGGCCUCAAAUGGUGGGUCAAUGAAUUUUAAAGUCUCGGGAUUCACAUCCAUCUACCAGUUGAAAUUGAUGAUAUGGGAGUCUUUUGGGAUUGUGAAGGAGAACCAGAAAUUACAUAAAGGUUCAGUUGAAAUUGAAGAUGAUUCUGCCACGUUGGCUGAUAUGAACAUACUGCCUGGAGAUGUUCUUUGGGUUACUGACACAGAAGUAUAUGAGAAUCGUGAUAUUGCAGAUGAACUUUUGGGAAGCAAGAUGGAAUUUGAGCAGGCAGAGGAAGGGUUUAAAGGAACUCUUUUGGCAUCAAAUGGCUCGGUUAAGUUAUUGGCACAGGAUAUCGCGUAAGACUUUUGGAAGAUGAGAAAACUAGGACUCCGUUCAUGUAAAGCAACAGAUACCUCCUGCCUCGCUGUUAAUGAGCCGUAGCCAUUGAUGUUUUUCACUAUAGGGAAGGGGGAAGGCCGAAGGCUGCUAUGAUGUAUUUUUGUUGGAAUUUAUGUUGGGAUGUCUCUCUUUUCUUUUCAUCUUAAUGAACUUUAGGAAAGUUAGGUAUGUGAUCAUGAAACUCAGGCAUGUGGGAAAUAUGAAAUGGAGAGAGGGAGAGAAACAGGUAAAAUUCAUGAGAGGUUUAGCUUUAUUUAUAGGUCCUUCUGGUACAACAUGGUUGUGCGUGUUUUGUCAAUGGUUGAGACCUCAAAUAUAUUAUAGUUUACCGUGUUCAGAGUAGUCCAUAGCGUUUGUUGCUUUCAGUUGUUGAUAGCCCUUAUGCAGGAGUUUUCCUGAGUUAUUGAUGGCCCUUAGAUCAGUCUCAUCAGGAAUUUGGGGUUCUUCCAAGUUAGUUUGAGCUGUCUCUAUUUACUUAGCAUCUCAACAAAAUUUAGGAAGCUUAGGGGUGAGAGAUAGAGAGAGAAAGAGAGAUGUUUUUUAUAAAAUUUAGAGCUGGUUCAGUUUCUUUGUUCGUAGUUCAUCUCUCUGGUAGAAAUUAGUUGUUCAUGAUUGGUCAGUGGUGAGGCAUCAGAACUCUUUAUAAUUUACAGGGAACUUUUGAUGGUAUACUUCAAUUUCAGUUGUUGGAAGUCCUUGAUUAACCAUAUCAGCAAUUGAUUGUUCUUUUGAAUUUUUUUUCUAGUAAUGGCCAAUAGAUUUCCUAUUAGGCGGCAUUUGAUUAUUUGAUAUUUAAUAAAACCCAUGGUUUUGAUAUCGAUCUGAUGUGGGUUGAUGUGGCUUGUUUUUGCUGAUGUGGUAAAAGAUCUACAGUAAAAUUCAUGGUUCAUCAAACUAAAGAUCUUAGCUCAGACCGAAGAUCUACGUAUAAAAUCCUUAUGUUGUUUCUUUUGCAUUGAGAAUGAGGUUGGAUUUACUGUUGGAAGAGGGUCUUAUCAAAUCCUCGGUUCUCAAAUCCUUAAGGUUUUAGAUUAGGGGCAACCAAGCACCCUCUUCUUUCUUGGAACAGCUUGCGUAAGCCUGC